This 1400-nucleotide long non-coding RNA is filed under the name Capsella grandiflora. RNAcentral describes it as "long non-coding RNA (CGRA_LNC000424)". The record is from RNAcentral. Lineage: Eukaryota; Viridiplantae; Streptophyta; Magnoliopsida; Brassicales; Brassicaceae.
GGAAGAUAAAGAAUAUUCUGAAUUCGUCAACUUCACUGGUGGUGGUGGAUAGUAAUCGAAGAUAAAAAAAAAUGGUUACGUGCUCCUCUGUUCUCGGGUUAGAUUUGCUCUGGAUCAAUGUUUCUUCGGUUUGUAUCUUGCUCUUUGUUCUUUAUGGUUUACAUUUUUGUGAUGUUACAGUUCGUUUAAAGUCUUUGUUGCUUGAAGAAAAGAAAUAUAUAUACACCACCAUUUCAAUACGGUUUUUAGGAUUAUCUGUCUAACUUUCAUAAUUUCUUGUGUUUUCUGGAAUUUUCAGAAGCAUCUAAGGUUUUACUAUGUUGGCGUGAAGCUGUAUGGGAAGCUCAUUGUGGAGAAUAUAAUUAAUUUAAUAUGGUCAAUUUAGUUUUUGAUGAAGAACAGAUCAGUGGUGAGUUCUCCUACAAUUUUCGUCUUCUUGAAAUAUGUUUUUUUUUUGCAAAUUAUUUUGUUGGUUGCUGAUGAUGAUAAUGUAUUAGUGUGGUUCUGGUUCAUCAUAGUUACCAAUUUCAGUACUGCGAAUCAAGGAAGCGGUAGGUAAUGUUAAUAAACACAAAGUACGGUUGUCUUUGGACCAACGUCUAUAAAUUGAAGAAUGCAUUCAUACAUUCAUUCAUGCAUUCAUACAUUCAUUCAUGCAUUCAUACAUUCAUUCAUGCAUUCAUUCAUUCAUUCAUUCAUUCAUUCAUUCAUGCAUUCAUACAUACAUCCAUACAUUCAUUCAUGCAUUCAUCCAUGCAUCAAUACAUACAUACAUCCAUGCAUUCAUAAUCAUACAUCCAUGUAUACUUGUCAACUUGCUUCCCUUGCACAUUGAUAAUUUCUUGUGACUUGUGAAAUCAUGAAAAGGAUCAGCUAUGUACAGAAAACCCUAUGUAUGAAGAGGUGAAUGGUAAUUUUUCACUUCCCCUCUAUUUCAUUGACCUCACUCUUAAUAUUGUAUUUGUCAGUAAUCAGCGGAGUUCAACUAAGUGUCUAGAAUCAGAUCAGUUCAUACUUCGGCAAAUGGGGUGUGAAGGCAUGCGGGUCUUGACGUAAAAAAAUCAUCAUGGCCUGGUAUUGCAAAUCCAUUUUUGAAUUUUCUGUAUAUGUUUUGUGUUGUGCAAGCUGAAUAUUGUUUUAACAGUCUUAGUUCUUCAUUUAAAUUUCAUUAUAUGGUUUCAUAGCCAAUCAUCUGGUAUCUGAUGAAUACUGCUCAGAUCGAUGUUUCGGCUUAUGCAGUAGUAGCAGUACCAUAUAGAAAUUUUAUAGGAAGGUAUGCAUGUGUUGUCCUACUCAAGCUUUUGUAAGUAUCGUUAGUAUCCAAACUAAAUUUCAUCUAUCUGUUGAUGUGCAAGCAGGGACGAUUGAAGGAAAAGUUACAUAUGGAAAGAAGUUGAGAU